CAUCGUCCCUGUCAGGAAGACUCAGCUCCGCAGCAUAAGCGGUUAGAAAAGUUAGACAACUAACUGAUAUUGAUUCCGCUCGUCUAGUAUAUUUUGGUUAUUUUCACAGUAUUAUGUCAUAUGGCAUAUUACUUUGGGGUAAUGCUGCAGAUAUUGAAUCUUUUUUUAUUUUACAAAAGAGAGCAAUCCGGUCUAUUUAUAAUCUUGGAGCUAGAGACUCUCUUCGGGAUGUUUUUAACAAAGUAGGAAUACUCACUGUUGCGUCACAGUAUAUUUACAACAAUAUUAUCUAUAUAUCACAGUAGCAUUGAUCACUUUUAUAAAAUCAGUGAUAAUCAUUGUAUGUGCACGAGGAGGAAGGAUAAGCUUAUAACGCCAAGUUUGCCGCUCCACAAAGUCAAUAAAUCCUUCUUGGGGCAAGGUAUCCUCAUUUGUAAAAUAUACAUCGGUAAAGAAGGCAUAUUAUUCGAUACAAGAUUUUAUAGAUGAUAAAAAAGCGUGGAGUUAAUACUUGUUGACUUCCAGGCAG
Long non-coding RNA from Vanessa tameamea, 529 nucleotides. RefSeq lists it as uncharacterized. The record is from RefSeq and is a predicted model, not a curated record. The transcript is spliced from 2 exons. Lineage: Eukaryota; Metazoa; Arthropoda; Insecta; Lepidoptera; Nymphalidae.